UAAUAAAAUCCUUUGGGAAAAGUGUUGUGUAAAUAAAUUUAUAUUGAAAUGUCUCCUUUAAAGGUCGCUUAACCUCAUGCAAAUUUUCCACAUUAAAAUUAAUUGCUGUUACCAAAUUUGGUCCAUUCCUUCUUUAAAAAAUACCUCAUCGUAGAGCUAUUUUUACACGUUAUUAUUUAUUGUUUAAACUGGUUUCCAGGUUUUUGUGUUUCUUGUAUGCUUUCACUACUCUGUGCUGAAUAUUGUGAUUCCUCGAUCUGGGAAACAUCGUAGAUGUUAAUUUAUAUAAUUCAAGACGCGACAGUGCGUUAGCUACAAUAAGAGGAAAUUACUUUAUAAAUGCAUGCCAUCUUUUCACUUUUAGGUUAGGGUUACGGGUUAACAAUUCAAAUAACAAAGGUUGAUGAUCUGUAUGGAUUUCGAGAUUCGUUGCACCUAUAGGUAAUUAUGAAGGUUUUUUAAAGCCCAUACAAUAGCGUAUAAUUCUUCUUCUGUUUUACUUAAAGCUUGUGAAAGAUAUUGGUUUACCUUCUUCUGAAAACACAGCGCCUAGUGCUACUUUGUAUGCGUCUGUGGUUAAUGCAAAUGCCUUUGAAUAGUUUGGUUGCGUCAAUUCCAUUUCUAACACCAAAUGUCUCUUUAAUUUAUUAAAUGUUGAAAAGCCAUUUUGAUCCAUAUUUUUUUUAAAUUUUUCUGAUAUGUUUUUUGAAACUUUACCAUUUUCCGGGGACAAAUAACUUGUCGGAGGCUUUGCAAUUGUGGCAUAAUUUUUAACAAAUUUAUUAGAUAAUUUAGAAUUAAUUUUGUUUUAUUAUUGACUAAAUGAGCCUCUGAUCCUCCGGCUACACCACAUAAAUCAUACACAACACACUUCAUUACACACCACAUCUUCACCACACACCACUUUUUACAUUCCACAUCACGCGCACACAAAUACCACCACAUCAUUAAACUAACAAAAGGUACCAACCAACAGAGCACAAGCCCCCUUUUGAUUUCGAUACGACACCGCAGACGGAAGUUCACGGGUCCCUUUUUAUUCGAUGCCGUAUCAGACGGCACCAUUGGCUUUAAUAUGUAACAAAAAAAACAAAAACAAAUAAAAUAAAAUGUAAAUGCAAGUGCAAGUGUAGUGAGAAAAACGAAAAACUUAAGCAAAAAAGUAUACAUAUAAAAAAAUAUAUAUACAUUGUAUAUGGGCCAUUCCAUCAAUUGGCGACAUGGUUUUGUACCCGUGGUUCUCCGAUUUUGACGAAACUUUAGAAUAUCAUAAUAUAGACUAAAAUAAGAAUAUCUGUAAACUUUUUAGUGGCCAAACUUGCUUCAUUGUUUUUUGGCGCGCACUUCAAAUUGAGAUCAAACAAAAAAAUGACUUUUUCUUUUAUUUUUUAACGACCUCAAAAUUGAGUGAAAAAAAUUUUAAAGUUAUCCAUUUUUAUGUAAAAAAAUCUCAGCUUUCUGAUAAAAAUAUUUUCAAAAUCCAAAAAAAAUUUCAAAAUCCAAAAAAAACCAUGUUUUUUCCAAAAAUUCCGCUUUUUGUGCUCUUCCCCAACUUUUUUAUCAAAAUUGACAUUAUUUUUCGAUUCCUCGUUAAAUUUUACAUAAGAAUCAGUGUUCAAAAAUAUGGGACUCUGAUCCCAUGAACAGCAAAAAAAAUUCAAAAUUGACUCUCAAAAUCCAAAAAAAGAACAUUAUUUUCCAAAAAAUCCGGUUUUUUGUGCUUUUCCACCAACCUUUUUUCAAAAUUGACUUUUCCAUUCGAUUCCUCGUUAAAUUUUACAUAAGAAUCAGUGUUCAUAUGGGACUCUGAUCCCACCAACAGCAAAAAAAAUGUAAAGUUGUCGCUACAUAUAUGGCACAUAUUUUUAUGAAUGAAGACUGUGAUUUCUUCUUAAUUCAAGUCUACCCGCCAGUAUGCGAAGUGGCGAUAGCCUCCUUUUUACUAGCGAUUUCGGUACUUUCUGGUAAGUACUUACUCGCUAGCACGUAACGGGUGAUUUUUUUGAGGUUAGGAUUUUCAUGCAUUAGUAUUUGACAGAUCACGUGGGAUUUCAGACAUGGUGUCAAAGAGACACCAGUAUGCUUUGACAUUUCAUCAUGAAUAGACUUACUAACGAGCAACGCUUGCAAAUCAUUGAAUUUUAUUACCAAAAUCAGUGUUCGGUUCGAAAUGUGUUUCGCGCGCGUGUUUUGUUCAGCGAUGAGGCUCAUUUCUGGUUGAAUGGCUACGUAAAUAAGCAAAAUUGCCGCAUUUGGGGUGAAGAGCAACCAGAAGCCGUUCAAGAACUGCCCAUGCAUCCCGAAAAAUGCACUGUUUGGUGUGGUUUGUACGCUGGUGGAAUCAUUGGACCGUAUUUUUUCAAAGAUGCUGUUGGACGCAACGUUACGGUGAAUGGCGAUCGCUAUCGUUCGAUGCUAACAAACUUUUUGUUGCCAAAAAUGGAAGAACUGAACUUGGUUGACAUGUGGUUUCAACAAGAUGGCGCUACAUGCCACACAGCUCGCGAUUCUAUGGCCAUUUUGAGGGAAAACUUCGGACAACAAUUCAUCUCAAGAAAUGGACCCGUAAGUUGGCCACCAAGAUCAUGCGAUUUAACGCCUUUAGACUAUUUUUUGUGGGGCUACGUCAAGUCUAAAGUCUACAGAAAUAAGCCAGCAACUAUUCCAGCUUUGGAAGACAACAUUUCCGAAGAAAUUCGGGCUAUUCCGGCCGAAAUGCUCGAAAAAGUUGCCCAAAAUUGGACUUUCCGAAUGGACCACCUAAGACGCAGCCGCGGUCAACAUUUAAAUGAAAUUAUCUUCAAAAAGUAAAUGUCAUGAACCAAUCUAACGUUUCAAAUAAAGAACCGAUGAGAUUUUGCAAAUUUUAUGCGUUUUUUUUUUUAAAAAAAGUUAUCAAGCUCUUAAAAAAUCAGCCUUUAGUAAUGCAGCACUGGGUGUCUUUACAUUUAAGAAAAACACAGAUACAGAAAAACGAUGCUUAACAAAGCUUCGUGCGUAUACGAAGCAAUGACAUUUCUUUUAUAUUCUUUUGUCACUUGAUUUCAUUCGCCACGUGUUUGCCAAGCGUUUCAAAUUUGGAAAGUGGAAGUGAGGAGUAUCUUUACAUAAUAAAAUAUAAAUAAUAUUGAUAAAAUAAAGGUAAAAAGAUAAAAAUGAUAAGUAAAAGGCAUUUGCGAAGGUUGAAAAAAAAUGAAAGAGAGAAAUUCAAAGAAAAAUGUGCGCUUGGUGAAAAUGAAUACAAGAAACAGGAAGAAAGUGAAGUGCGUAAAAUUGCUAAAAUACAAGAAGUGGAGGUAGAAGGAGACACAGACAUGGACGUAGAAAACGUUGACACUGACUUUGUUGAAAAUCCCACGGGCUUAAACUUAAAUGACAAACUUAAAGAGUGGUAUUUAAGAUAUAAGCCAAAGCGGAAUUGUGCAAUACAUUUAAUUAAAAUUUUGAGAGAGGAACGUUUAAGGAUAAGUCCAUUUUAUAGGUUUAUAUCUAAUUCAACGCCAGAUAUAGUGCAACUCGCGGGCGGAUUACAUCUCCAUAUAGGAUUAAAUCAACAGCUUCAAAAAAUAUCCAAAGUUAUUCAGCUUUCCAGUCCGUUAGUGAUUGAUAUUAAUAUUGACGGAAUUCCCCUAUUUAAAAGUUCUAAGUCGCAAUUGUGGCUAAUUUUAGGUAGGCUAACUAAUUUAGGAAAUAUGUUUGUAUUUCUUAUAGGUGUAUUUUUGGGCAAAAACAAGCCAAAUAACUCUGCAGAAUUUUUAAGCAGUUUUACCUCAGAAUUUGCGAUGUUAAAGGAAAGUGGAUGUGAGGUGGCUGGCAGGAACUUGCAGGUUCAAAUCGGGUCAAUAGUUUGUGAUGCUCCAGCAAGAGCAUUUGUAAGUGGAAUCCCUGGGCACACAUCGGCUCAUGGAUGUUCAAAAUGUGAUCAGGUAGCCAAAAAAAUUGAUUGCGUUUUAACCUAUAGCACCAAAUUGGGUCGGCUAAUUACAAAUGAAGAUUUUUCAGCUGGAAAAUACCCAACAAGUCAGCUUUUGAAAAACUUGGGGUAUCCAUGGUUACACAGGUUCCUUUGGACUGCAUGCAUCUUGUAGAAUUGGGAGUCAUGAGAAAAUUCCUAACUAGAUUAGUAAAUAACAAAGUGUCUGUCAAAAUAACGAAAGCAAACAAAGAAAACAUAUCCGAAAAAUUAAUAGCAAUGCGAAAACAUGUUCCGAAUGACUUUGCGCGCAAGCCCAGAUCGUUAGAAGAAUUGCUACAUUGGAAAUCCACUGAGUUUAGGCAAUUUUUGUUGUACACUGGGCUUGUUGCUCUAAGAAAUGAGGUACAUGACGACAUAUACUACGAGUUUUUGCUUUUACAUUGCUCAUACAGAAUGCUCUGUUGUCCAAAACUUCGCAACGCAAAUUUGGAAACUUCCCAACUGAUGUUAAAUUUAUUUGUUGAGAGCUUUCCAAUUAUCUUUGGCGAAAAUAGUGUGUCAUACAACGUACACAGUUUAUUGCACUUAAAGGAGACGGUCGCGCAGGUUGGGGAUCCAAUCGCGGGCUCUGCGUAUGCUUUCGAAAAUUAUUUGCAAACCCUCAAACGACAUAUCCGAAAACCAACGAAAAUUCUCGAACAAAUACACAGAAAAAUUAUGGAAGAUGAAUUCGUUGCUCCUUUAAAUAAAAAUAAACCAGAACUGUUGGGAAAAAAAUAUUUUCAAAGCUGCAUGUUAAGUACAAAAGCACCUGACAAUUACUGUUACGUGAAAAACAAUACGCCCGUACUCAUCCGAUCGUUUACACCAGGUGUAGAAGGCACACUAAUAGGUCGCAGAUUAAAAAAUCUUAGAUCCUUUUUUGAAGAACCUAUUAAUUCAACAACUUUGGGAAUAUAUUUAGUUGACAGGAAGCCAUCAGAAGCGGAAGAGUCGUUUUCAUUUUUAGACCUUGAAUGCAAAGCUGUUGGGGUGCCUUAUCGAGACGAUUUAUUGAUACUGCCAAUGUUUAAUUAAUGUUUAGUUACUUUUGUUUUUACCUUUUUAUUAUAGUCAGAACUAUAUAUGAAAAAUGUUUAAAACUAUAAAUAAAUAAAAAAUAAUAAGCUUUCAAAAUGCCUGAUACUCCUCCAAAAAAAAUUAAACGCGUUGCCUUUGACAAACAAAGUAAGUGAUCGUUGAAUCAUUUAAAAAAAAAUUAGUUAAAAUAAAUUUAAAUCCAAUAGACAACAAUUGCAGUUGCACUAUCGUUAUUGAUCAGCUCGAGAAAAAGAUAGACGAUAUGAAAGGUAAAAAUAAUUUACGGAAAACUGAUCCAUGUGUUAUACCUACAUAUCUAUUUAAAAUCUUAUGUUUUCAGAUGCCAUGCAACAGGAAAUUAAGGUGGUUCGUGGUCAACUGCAAAUAGCAAUUGAAGCACUGGCCGAUCAAAAAGUUGUCCUGAAUCAACUUUUGCAACAAAGUGCAGAGGAGCUGCCUAUCCAGUCCAAAUUCCCCUUAAAGAACGAAGAGCAGCUAAUCAGUUUAAAUGACCAGCUCAACAGCGAAAACAAAAACACUUAUGUUAAAGCUAUGAGAUCGCUGCUGCAACCUACCGGCGUUUUGAAAAAUUUAAGAAAUAUUUUGAGCGAUAAAAUAGCAAUGGCAUUCAAUGUCGAUGGAGUGCAGGGCAAAAAGUCCUUAAAAUCCCUUCAAAACUUUUAUAACGCACUACUGGGUAUUAUAUUUCUUGUUUUAUACAAAAAAAUUGGCACUUAUUAAGUUUUUUUUCUUAUUUAGACUCAAUUCCGUUAAAUGAUGGGAAUGGUACUGCAGACGAAAAACUGCGUAAAGCAAUGCAGUUGCAAAAAAAACGCAUUUUUAAAAGGGCUUGCUUGUCCAAAGACAAGACAUAAUAGUCAAUUCGACUUAAAAUUUCAA
This is an RNA transcript of Bactrocera dorsalis (oriental fruit fly), 5896 nucleotides long. RefSeq lists it as uncharacterized. The record is from RefSeq and is a predicted model, not a curated record. Lineage: Eukaryota; Metazoa; Arthropoda; Insecta; Diptera; Tephritidae. The transcript is spliced from 3 exons.